Molecule: ribosomal RNA, 972 nt
Filed under: uncultured Bacteroidota bacterium
Lineage: Bacteria; Pseudomonadati; Bacteroidota
Description: bacterial SSU rRNA
Rfam family: Bacterial small subunit ribosomal RNA
Source: RNAcentral
GAGUUUGAUCCUGGCUCAGGAUGAACGCUAGCGGCAGGCUUAACACAUGCAAGUCGAGGGGUAUUUAUCUUCGGAUAGAGAGACCGGCGCACGGGUGCGUAACGCGUAUGCAAUCUACCUUUUACAGAGGGAUAGCCCAGAGAAAUUUGGAUUAAUACCUCAUAGUAUUAUUAAAUGGCAUCAUUUUAUAAUUAAAGUCACAACGGUAAAAGAUGAGCAUGCGUCCCAUUAGCUAGAUGGUAAGGUAACGGCUUACCAUGGCUACGAUGGGUAGGGGUCCUGAGAGGGAGAUCCCCCACACUGGUACUGAGACACGGACCAGACUCCUACGGGAGGCAGCAGUGAGGAAUAUUGGACAAUGGGCGCAAGCCUGAUCCAGCCAUGCCGCGUGCAGGAUGACGGUCCUAUGGAUUGUAAACUGCUUUUGUACGAGAAGAAACACUGCUUCGUGAAGCAGCUUGACGGUAUCGUAAGAAUAAGGAUCGGCUAACUCCGUGCCAGCAGCCGCGGUAAUACGGAGGAUCCAAGCGUUAUCCGGAAUCAUUGGGUUUAAAGGGUCCGUAGGCGGUUUAGUAAGUCAGUGGUGAAAGCCCAUCGCUCAACGGUGGAACGGCCAUUGAUACUGCUGAACUUGAAUUAUUAGGAAGUAACUAGAAUAUGUAGUGUAGCGGUGAAAUGCUUAGAGAUUACAUGGAAUACCAAUUGCGAAGGCAGGUUACUACUAAUAUAUUGACGCCGAUGGACGAAAGCGUGGGUAGCGAACAGGAUUAGAUACCCUGGUAGUCCACGCCGUAAACGAUGGAUACUAGCUGUUGGGAGCAAUUUCAGUGGCUAAGCGAAAGUGAUAAGUAUCCCACCUGGGGAGUACGUUCGCAAGAAUGAAACUCAAAGGAAUUGACGGGGGCCCGCACAAGCGGUGGAGCAUGUGGUUUAAUUCGAUGAUACGCGAGGAACCUUACCAAGGCUUAAAUG